GAGCAAUUCGAGUGGUCAUUAUUACGUCUAGCUAAAGUAGCAAAGUUGGGCGGGCCAGUAAGCUGUUCACGUCAGCGGAGGAGUCACGGUGGAGGUUUGCAGCUAGGCGGGUGGUUUCUUUAAAACACCCCAAAGCAGUAAGGUCGAGAAGAAAAUGUAUAGGUGGAUUCUGAACCAACAUUCAGGCCCUAAUGGAGGCCCAAUAAACCUUCUCGUUUAGAACAAGAAU
RNAcentral lists this unclassified non-coding RNA (229 nucleotides) under Hevea brasiliensis (rubber tree). Lineage: Eukaryota; Viridiplantae; Streptophyta; Magnoliopsida; Malpighiales; Euphorbiaceae. The record is from RNAcentral.